RNAcentral lists this ribosomal RNA (59 nucleotides) under Amicia glandulosa. Its description in RNAcentral is "partial large subunit ribosomal RNA". It matches the Rfam family "Eukaryotic large subunit ribosomal RNA", at positions 1 to 58 of the family's 3401-position model. Lineage: Eukaryota; Viridiplantae; Streptophyta; Magnoliopsida; Fabales; Fabaceae. RNAcentral also lists the same sequence under 10 other names. The record is from RNAcentral.
GCGACCUCAGGUCAGGCGGGGCUACCCGCUGAGUUUAAGCAUAUCAAUAAGCGGAGGAA